This 73-nucleotide transfer RNA is filed under the name Vibrio cholerae. RNAcentral describes it as "tRNA-Pro". It matches the Rfam family "tRNA". From Rfam's summary of the family: Transfer RNA (tRNA) molecules are approximately 80 nucleotides in length. Their secondary structure includes four short double-helical elements and three loops (D, anti-codon, and T loops). Lineage: Bacteria; Pseudomonadati; Pseudomonadota; Gammaproteobacteria; Vibrionales; Vibrionaceae. RNAcentral also lists the same sequence under 1 other name. The record is from RNAcentral.
CGGACUGUAGCGCAGCUUGGUAGCGCACCGUCAUGGGGUGUCGGGGGUCGGAGGUUCAAAUCCUCUCAGUCCG